RNAcentral lists this ribosomal RNA (250 nucleotides) under uncultured bacterium. RNAcentral describes it as "partial 16S ribosomal RNA". It matches the Rfam family "Bacterial small subunit ribosomal RNA", at positions 524 to 773 of the family's 1533-position model. The record is from RNAcentral.
UACAGAGGGUGCGAGCGUUAAUCGGAAUUACUGGGCGUAAAGGGCGCGUAGGUGGUUACUUAAGUCAGAUGUGAAAUCCCUGGGCUUAACCUAGGAAUUGCAUAUGAUACUGAGUAGCUAGAGUAUGGGAGAGGGAAGUGGAAUUUCCGGUGUAGCGGUGAAAUGCGUAGAUAUCGGAAGGAACAUCGGUGGCGAAGGCGGCUUCCUGGCCCAUUACUGACACUGAGGCGCGAAAGCGUGGGGAGCGAAC